This 254-nucleotide long non-coding RNA is filed under the name Lathyrus oleraceus (garden pea). Its description in RNAcentral is "Pisum sativum (pea) long non-coding RNA (PSAT_LNC040448)". The record is from RNAcentral. Lineage: Eukaryota; Viridiplantae; Streptophyta; Magnoliopsida; Fabales; Fabaceae.
UCUUCUUCAACCUUCUUCCUCUUGCUCUGCCUCUUUGCCCUUUUCCUCUUUUUGAGCCGCUUCUCUGUUUUCACGUGAAAACUCUCUUUACCAAAAUGAAACUCUUUUCUUUAUUUCCAACUUAUAUAUUUUCCAAUAAUUAUUAUUCCAAUAAUAAUAAUAAUAAUAAUCCAAUAAUUCCAAAUUAUUUAAUUAAAUUAAUAAAUAUAAUAUUAACUUAAAUUAAAUAAUUAUCUUAUUUUUUUAUCGGGGUG